UCCUACGGGAGGCAGCAGUGAGGAAUAUUGGUCAAUGGGCUUACGCCUGAACCAGCCAAGUCGCGUGAGGGAAGACUGCCCUAUGGGUUGUAAACCUCUUUUGUCAGGGAGCAACGCCGGCUACGUGUAGCCGGACUGAGAGUACCUGAAGAAAAAGCAUCGGCUAACUCCGUGCCAGCAGUCGCGGUAAUACGGAGGAUGCGAGCGUUAUCCGGAUUUAUUGGGUUUAAAGGGUGCGUAGGCGGAGUGUCAAGUCAGCGGUAAAAUUUCGGGGCUCAACCCCGUCGUGCCGUUGAAACUGACGC
RNAcentral lists this ribosomal RNA (305 nucleotides) under uncultured bacterium. RNAcentral describes it as "bacterial SSU rRNA". It matches the Rfam family "Bacterial small subunit ribosomal RNA", at positions 337 to 639 of the family's 1533-position model. The record is from RNAcentral.